UGGGGAAUAUUGCACAAUGGGCGAAAGCCUGAUGCAGCAACGCCGCGUGAGGGACGACGGCCUUCGGGUUGUAAACCUCUUUUAGCAAGGAAGAAGCGAAAGUGACGGUACUUGCGAAAGAACGCGCGCUAACUACGUGCCAGCAGCCGCGGUAAUACGUAGGGCGCAAGCGUUAUCCGGAAUUAUUGGGCGUAAAGAGCUCGUAGGCGGUUUGUCGCGUCUGCUGUGAAAACCCGAGGCUCAACCUCGGGCCUGCAGUGGGUACGGGCAGACUAGAGUGCGGUAGGGGAGAUUGGAACUCCUGGUGUAGCGGUGGAAUGCGCAGAUAUCAGGAAGAACACCGAUGGCGAAGGCAGAUCUCUGGGCCGUAACUGACGCUGAGGAGCGAAAGGGUGGGGAGCAAAACAGGCUUAGAUACCCUGGUAGUCCACCCCGUAAACGUUGGGAACUAGUUGUGGGGUCCAUUCCACGGAUUCCGUGACGCAGCUAACGCAUUAAGUUCCCCGCCUGGGGAGUACGGCCGCAAGGCUAAAACUUAAAUGAAUUGACGGGGUCAUAGCUG
RNAcentral lists this ribosomal RNA (562 nucleotides) under uncultured bacterium. RNAcentral describes it as "partial 16S ribosomal RNA". It matches the Rfam family "Bacterial small subunit ribosomal RNA", at positions 355 to 932 of the family's 1533-position model. The record is from RNAcentral.